Molecule: small nucleolar RNA, 114 nt
Filed under: Neotoma lepida (desert woodrat)
Lineage: Eukaryota; Metazoa; Chordata; Mammalia; Rodentia; Cricetidae
Description: Small nucleolar RNA SNORA40
Rfam family: Small nucleolar RNA SNORA40
About the family: The snoRNA ACA 40 belongs to the H/ACA family of snoRNAs and guides the pseudouridylation of 28S rRNA subunit at position U4565. NB This family has a high threshold value to exclude a large number of closely related sequences that do not appear to have conserved H and ACA boxes, and may be pseudogenes.
Source: Rfam by way of RNAcentral
GGCAGCCUGUUUUAACUUGUGGAUAAAGACUUAAAGAUGAGUACAAAAAUAAAGCCUUUUUUGCAACCUAAAACUUGUUUAAUAUGACUUUUAAUACAUAUGAGAAGGAGUGUG